This 73-nucleotide transfer RNA is filed under the name Capra hircus (goat). It matches the Rfam family "tRNA". From Rfam's summary of the family: Transfer RNA (tRNA) molecules are approximately 80 nucleotides in length. Their secondary structure includes four short double-helical elements and three loops (D, anti-codon, and T loops). Lineage: Eukaryota; Metazoa; Chordata; Mammalia; Artiodactyla; Bovidae. The record is from Rfam by way of RNAcentral. RNAcentral also lists the same sequence under 1 other name.
UCCCUGCUGGUCCAGUGCUUAAGACUUUGCACUCCCAAUGCAGGGGGUCCAAGUUCAAUCCCUGGUCAAGGAG